UGCUCAGCAACUCCUAUCUCUAACUCCUCGUAGUACUGGCCAUGGUACGAGCAACCUUUGAAAAAGAUCGGGUAACAAACCCCGGUGGGAACUUUGGUCGUAUGCUGAUAGGGGAGG
Molecule: ribozyme, 117 nt
Filed under: Aedes aegypti (yellow fever mosquito)
Lineage: Eukaryota; Metazoa; Arthropoda; Insecta; Diptera; Culicidae
Description: drz-agam-1 ribozyme
Rfam family: drz-agam-1 ribozyme
Source: Rfam by way of RNAcentral